AGUGGCGAACGGGUGAGUAACACGUGGGUUAUUUUCCGUAAAGAGGGGGACAACCACUGGAAACGGUGGCUAAUACCGCAUAAUCCCGAGAGGGUAAAGGAUGGCAGCAUCCGCUUUACGAUAAGCCUGCGGUCUAUCAGUUAGUUGGUGGGGUAAUGGCUUACCAAGGCGACGACGGAUAUCCGGCCUGAGAGGGUGAUCGGACACACUGGCACUGGGACACGGGUCAGACUCCUACGGGAGGCAGCAGUUAAGAAUCUUGCGCAAUGGGCGAAAGCCUGACGCAGCCACGCCGCGUGAGGGACGAAGGUUUUCGGAUUGUAAACCUCAUUAAGAUGGGAAGAAUAAUUAUAGUUGUUACAAGCUAUGAGAUGACGGUACCAUCCUUCAGCCCCGGCUAAUUACGUGCCAGCAGCCGCGGUAAUACGUAUGGGGCAAGCGUUGUUCGGAUUUAUUGGGCGUAAAGGGCACGCAGGCGGGAGAAUAAGUUGGUAGUUUAACCUUCAGGCUCAACCUGAAGUCUGCUAUCAAAACUAUUUUUCUUGAGUACCAGAGGGGAAAGCGGAAUUCUUGGUGUAGCGGUGGAAUGCGUAGAUAUCAAGAGGAACACCAGUGGCGAAGGCGGCUUUCUGGCUGAGUACUGACGCUCAUGUGCGAAAGCGUGGGUAGCAAACAGGAUUAGAUACCCUGGUAGUCCACGCCGUAAACUUUGUACACUAGAUGUCGGGGGUUUCAACGCCUUCGGUGUCGCAGCUAACGCGUUAAGUGUACCGCCUGGGGAGUAUGCCCGCAAGGGUGAAACUCAAAGGAAUUGACGGGGGCCCGCACAAGCGGUGGAGCAUGUGGUUUAAUUCGACGAUACGCGAAGAACCUUACCUGGUCUUGACAUUUACCGGACAGGUGUAGAGAUACAUUUUCCUUUUAGGUCGGUAAACAGGUGUUGCAUGGUUGUCGUCAGCUCGUGUUGUGAGAUGUUGGGUUAAGUCCCGCAACGAGCGCAACCCCUAUCUUCUGUUGCUAUCAGGUUAAGCUGGGCACUCUGAAGAAACCGCCGGUGUUAAACCGGAGGAAGGUGGGGAUGACGUCAAAUCAGCAUGGCCCUUAUGUCCAGGGCUACACACGUGCUACAAUGGUCGAUACAAAGGGUAGCGAGGUCGCGAGGCUAAGCAAAUCUCAUAAAGUCGAUCUAAGUUCGGAUUGUAGUCUGCAACUCGACUACAUGAAGGCGGAAUCGCUAGUAAUCGCAGAUCAGCAUGCUGCGGUGAAUACGUUCCCGGGCCUUGUACACACCGCCCGUCACACCACCCGAGUUGGUGGCACUCGAAGUGGCUGCAGCUAACCCAUUUUUGGGAGGCAGGUCAUCAAGGUGAAGCCGGCGAGGGGGGUGAAGUCGUAACAAGGUAACC
RNAcentral lists this ribosomal RNA (1406 nucleotides) under uncultured bacterium. Its description in RNAcentral is "bacterial SSU rRNA". It matches the Rfam family "Bacterial small subunit ribosomal RNA". The record is from RNAcentral.